Molecule: non-coding RNA, 619 nt
Organism: Xyrichtys novacula (pearly razorfish)
Lineage: Eukaryota; Metazoa; Chordata; Actinopteri; Labriformes; Labridae
Source: the annotation of a GenBank genome assembly
GGCUUCAAAUCCGUGUACCGGCAGAAGGCGGAACCAAGUUGUCCAUACAGUCUAUGGUUUGAACUCUCAAAAAAGGAAUAGUAGAAAACAUUUGAGCAACAAUAAAAACAAAACUUCAAGGUAUUUUGUGUGAAAAAGACAAAAGUUCAACAAGUCGCACAAGUCGAGUGUUAGCAAUAUUAGCUCUGGAUAACACCAGCGUGUCAAAACAAUAAUGUACAGGUGUGACGCUCCCAGCUCUCAGGCACACGUUUGGCUUUUGAUGUCCUUGAACAGCGUGAGUGUGUGUGUGUGUGUGUGUGUGUGUGUGUGUGUGUGUGUGUGUGUGUGUGUGUAGGGGUGUGUGUAUGUGUAUGCGUGUGUAAUGCUGGUUCUGCCAGGUUUCCUUUCUUUCCCAGGUACACUGUAUCUAAUCAGGCAAACCUCACUGAUGCUGGCUCUGUAGAAACUUUAUCUGUCACUGCUAGUUUGUUCAGUUCCUGCCUCCAUUAGCCCUAAGGCUCAAGCUCACACUGUUUAUUCAGUUGCAGUCGCUGAUAAAUUGUGAGCUGAAAAAACUUAAGUAAUGAGGCAAGUAAAUAGAGCCUUCACAAGCAAACACUGUUUGAGCAACCCAAAC